This 398-nucleotide unclassified non-coding RNA is filed under the name Litsea resinosa. RNAcentral describes it as "partial miscellaneous RNA". Lineage: Eukaryota; Viridiplantae; Streptophyta; Magnoliopsida; Laurales; Lauraceae. The record is from RNAcentral.
UACUGGCAGGAUCAACCAGGUAACAGUGAAGAACAAGUUUCCUCUUCCCCGGAUCGACGAGCUCUUCGACCAGCUUCAGGGUGCUCAGUAUUCCUCAAAGGUGGACUUGAGAUCGGGAUAUCACCAUCUUCGAGUCAGAGAGCAGGAUGUGCAUUAGACCGCAUUUCGUACUCGUUACGGACACUAUGAGUUCCUUGUGAUGCCAUUCGGGUUGACGAAAGCGCUGGCAGUGUUCAUGGCUCUGAUGAACAAGAUCUUCACCCCAUACCUCGACAGUUUCACAGUGGUGUUCAUCGAUGAUGUAUUGGUCUGCUCCAAGUCCAGUGAGGAGCACGAGCAACAUUUGAGGACAUCUCUACAAUUGUUGCGCGACAACCAGUUGUAUGCGAAGCUCAGCA